GAGAGAGACAGACAGCAGUAGCCAGAUGGAACCUAGUUUGUUUUGAAGUAGCUGCUGCUAAGAGCAGGACAGUCUGUCGGCUCUAGUGUGGUGUGUGUGUUUGUUUGUGUGUGUGUGUGUGUGUGUAUGAGGGGAAGAGCUCAUUACACCCUGCUUGGAGGAGGACAGCAACCCCCUGUUUUUUGCUUAUGUGGACAGAUCUCAUGUUGUAAGUGUGCUGCUCAGUGUGGAGGCCCUCUGUGCAGCUCAAGGUCAGGAAGAUCCAGCAGGAACCAUCCCGUCUCGGGAUCCCGGAUCUUGGGACUCACAGAGGCGGGUGGACACAAGUUUCCCUGUUCCUCGAUUAUAGGAGCACUAUGCAGGGCUACGGGACUCUGUAGAGGAUAUGAGGCCUGAACUACUGUCAAAACCUUCUACAACAGAAUCAGUUCUCCCAGCCUGAUCCUGUGUCAGAGACUAAGGGAAUGGGCCCAGCCUCACUGCAGGGGGAGAGAGAGCCGGAGGAAGGGUCCAAGGGGGAAAUGGAGGGCUACCGCUGCCUUCUGCAGGCUGGAUCCCAGCUGGAGAGCACUCUGCAGCAGGUGACUGUCCCAGUAAGCUUGAAGGAGGUGGGAGGCUACAUAGAGAAACAGGUGGCAUACCUGUCAGGGGGCCGUGGGGAAGACUCCAGUGUCAUCAUCACCCUCCCAGAGUGCUCUGCUUUCAGUGACAUUCCCGAGAAAGCUUUAGCCAAAGUCUUUACAUACCUCACACUCAUCCCUCGAACCAGACAACCCGGAGUCAAAUUUAUCAUCAUUUUAGACCGAAGACUGGAUACAUGGGCCUCUAUCAAAACUGCACUUGCCAGGAUAGCAGCCUCCUUUCCUGGGAACCUUCACUUGGUCUUGGUGCUUCGACCCACCAGCUUCUUCCACCGCACUGUUACUGAUAUUGGCUUUCGCUUCAGCCAAGAGGACUUCAUGCUCAAGAUGCCAGUGGUGAUGCUGAGCUCGGUCACAGACCUGCUGCACUACAUCAAUGAAAACCAGCUGACUUCCGAGUUUGGAGGCACUUUGGACUAUUGUCAUAGUGACUGGAUUGUUUUACGAACAGCUAUUGAAAGUUUUGCUGUCACAGUCAAAGACAUUGCCCAGAUGCUGCAGGGCUUUGGCACAGAGCUGGCAGAGACGGCGCUGUCUGAUGAGGGGAAAGCCAUUGAGUAUCUCCUCGAGUCUCACACUGACAAGUACAGGAAACUUAAGGAUGCAAUCAGGUCCGUGUCAAAGGAAGGUCGACAUCUUCUCGCAAGCCUGGAGAGCUCAGGGAAGGAGGAUGACUCCCAGUGGGAUGUGAGGCUGGACUGGGAGACAGUACAGAGGCUUCUUGCUCAGCUCAGAGACAUGGAGUCAGCCUUUGAUGGCUUCUUUGAGAAGCAUCAUCUGAAACUCCAUCAGUACCUUCAAUUACUUAGAUACGAACAAAGCUUUCAGGAGAUGGAAUUGUGUCUGGAGCAUCUGAUGGGUCAGGAGAGGGAGCUGUCCAUAUCUGUUGACACUCUGAUCCAAACAGAACAGGCUCUCAAAAGGUUGGACAGUCUAGAAUCAAAUGCACAGGAGGUGAUGUCUCGAGCUCAGAUCAUCAUCCUUCAUGGACACCAGCUAUCAGCCGGUCACCACUAUGCCAUGGCUCUUAUAAUGCAGCGCUGCAACGAGCUUCGCCACUACUGUGAUACACUCAAUGCUGCUCUAAAGACCAAACACACUCGUCUUUUGCAAACACACCAGCUGCUGCUUUGUCUUGAACAGGCCCACACUUGGUGUGAUGAUGGAGCGUAUCUGUUGGCCAAUCAGCUGAUAGAUAAGUACCAGUCUAAGGAGGGGGCCCAGGCUGCUUUGAGGGACAUAGAACAGUUUCUAGAGGGAGCUCCGUCUAUGCUUAGCUUAGGACCUGACAUCCUGGCCAUUGAGUACGAGGCUGUCAUCACUCCUCAGCUGCAGGCCCAGAUAGGCAAAACGCUUGACAAGCAUGCGACAGUGCAGCAGAUGAUCCAGAGCCGACAGGCUUCUUUAAGAAAGCUGGCUGAUAAACAUGUGCGACCGAUCCAACUGGUUGCCCCCAGGCCGGAAAACCCACCACGUGCCAAGUCCCCGCUCUUCUCCCCCAAACAUGGUGAUGGUUUGAAGUUUACAUUUGACCUCUCCCUGCCUGGGAAGAGAGCCUCCCGAAAGAGCCCCAACCCUAGAAAAAUAGAGGUGAUCCACGACUACCAGGAGAGCUGGAGCUACGUUUCGAAAAAUCUGGAUGGAGAGGACAGCCCUGAUCUCUUGAAGCGUCAUGUCAUGAGGGAACUCAUAGAGACAGAAAGAAUCUAUGUGGAAGAGUUGCUGUCAGUUCUGCUGGGUUACAGGGCUGAGAUGGACAACCCAGCUCUGUCAGGACUUCUGCCCCCGAUCCUGCACAGCAAGAGAGACAUCCUCUUUGGAAACAUGCCUGAGAUCUACAACUUUCACAGCAGGGUUUUCCUUCAGGACCUGGAAGGAUGCCUGGAGGCUCCUGAAAGUGUGGGAGCUUGUUUUCUAGAGCGGAAAGAGAGUUUCCAAAUGUAUGAAUGCUACUGUCAGAAUAAGCCACGCUCUGAGGCCCUGUGGAGACAAUUCUCAGACUGUGGCUUCUUUCAGGAGUGUCAAAUAAAGCUGGAGCAAAAACUGUGCCUGGAUUCCUACCUGUUGAAACCAGUCCAACGCCUCACCAAAUACCAGCUGCUGCUUAAGGAACUUCUGAAACACAGUCCUGAUUGUGAGGGGACUUCAGAACUGCAGGGGGCAUUAACAGCAAUGCUGGACCUGUUAAAAUCAGUCAAUGACUCUAUGCAUCAGAUAGCCAUCACAGGAUAUGAGGGUGACAUUUGCGAGCUGGGCCGUGUGUUGAUGCAGGGUUCGUUCAGUGUGUGGAUCAGCCAUAAGAAAGGGCCCACACGCAUGAAGGAGCUUGCUCGCUUCAAGCCGAUGCAGAGACACCUCUUCUUGUAUGAGAGAGUUCUGCUCUUCUGCAAGCGGAGGGAGGAGCACGGAGACGGAUGCGACAAAACCCCCUGCUACAGCUUCAAGCACUGUCUCAAGAUGACUGCUGUGGGCAUCACAGAGAACGUCAAGGGAGAUGUGAAGAAGUUUGAGAUCUGGUACAGUGGCAGGGAGGAAGUGUAUGUGGUUCAGGCUCCUACACUGGAGGUGAAGAUGGCCUGGCUCAAUGAGCUACGCAGAAUCCUGACUAACCAGCAGAAGCUGCUCAGAGAUGAAGCAUAUCAACAAGGCCAAAUGGUUGGACACAUACCGCUUUCUCCACCACUCUCUGAGAGCAAGCAGCAGAGGGUGUCAGUGAGCUCGGAGGACACUGAGUCAGGGAGGAGCAGUCCAGACCCCCAGCCUCACUCCCCUAAACACCAGCACAACCGCAAGACAGUUCAGGUGUACUUUAACCUGAAGAACCAGGUACUUCAAGGAAUUUUGGGGAAAAAGGUCCAACCACUGAGAUUAGCUUUUGAUUCUACGUUCUUGUUUAUUUCCCAGUUGGCCAGGAGCUCAUCACUCGGUAGACAUCUGCGAGGGUCUGGAGAAGUGGUCUGGAGGUCGGGACACCUUCCACCCAUCUGACACAGAGGAGGAGGUUUUGGUGCAACUGUCUCCAGGCAGAUACAGAGCUCUGGCUGACUGCCUUCAAAAUGGACCAGACAGCAUUACCAUCAAAUGUGGAGACGUCAUCCAACUGCAGUGUGAAGACAACAAGGGACACUGGCUGGUGAAAAACCUGAGUCGGCAACUGGAGGGCUUCAUAGCCGCUGCCACCCUGCAGCUGAUUCCAGUAGACAGCAGUUGAGCACACUUCUCCAGACUACGGGGUAAAGGAAAGACAUGGACUUCCAAGAUGACAAUACAAUGUUGCGCCAUAGUAUUUCUUUACUUUCAUUAUUGUUUUUAAAGUGUGUAUAUUUUCUUGUAGACCCACGGAACCUGCCGCCGAGAAAGCUCAGCUCCCCGUAGAGGAGAAAUCACAGAAUGUGAUUCUAAUGUGUACCUGUGGAGGAUAAACAGAAGGAAAAGGUUGAGCCAUAGCUGUCUCAUAAGUGAUCAGCCACCCACUCCUCACUCCCUGGUGACGUCUGCUUUCUCCAGCACAAUCAUUAAAGAGAAAUGUGUGGGAAUCUAGAUACCUGAUUUUCUUCCAGGUUAUGAUUGACAAUCUACUGGGCUGGAGUUUUCUGAUUGUGAAGGUGUGCUGUGGCACCAGUGCAAAGGCUCAGGAACUGUUUAGCCCUCUUGGACAAUCAACAGCCGAUUUUUGGACCCUGAUUAGUCUUCCUCUUUUCUGAUUGGUGUGGAGAAUCUUCCAUUUGUAACACACAUAAAGUCAGGAUGUGAGGUUGCUGCUCUACCAGUUUGUCAUUUCUCAAACAUUGUAACCCUUCCUCAUUUGAGCUUGUGUUCGGGAUUGUAGUAUCUCCGAGUGUGUGUGUUCCUGUUUGUCUUACUGUGUGCUGGAUAAAUAGCAGCCCAGGGUUUUCCUGAAACAUUUCUUAAAAAAAACAUUUGUACAUAUACUGUAUCUUUUUUUUUAAGAUAGGAUUUUUUUUUUUUUCUUUAUUAAAGUUGAUUAGCGGGAUGACAUGUAGUAAAGGGCCGCAAGUCGGAUUUGAACCUAGGCUGCUGCAGGACUCAGCCAACAUGGGGUAAACGCUCUUACUGGGUGAGCUAGAGGUCACCCCACUGUGUCAUUUUAACAUUUAUUGUAACUCAGUGUUUCAUCUUUGUGUAGUUAGUUGACAUUUGUCCAUUGUAUUUUUCUUACAUCUCAUUCCUUAAGUCACCAAUCUUCUGUAUAGUCUAGGAGAUAGAAUGCCAAAAUGUGCCAUGCCAUAAUGCCUUUUUUAUUCCUGCUUUCUUGGAGCCUAUUGUAUGUACUGUUUGCAAAAUCAAAUACUUUGUUAUUGCUUUAACCUGACCUCACAGAUAUCCAACAGACACUUUAAUCAGGUGGAUAGACGUGAAAAUCAAAAAAUCCACCUAUUGUCUACCGAAUGUCUGCUUUUCUUGCUGCUUUACCUCUCUUACUGUGUAUUUCCUCUCAGUCAUGCUGUUACUUCCUUUGUUUAUUAUUGAAUGUAUUAUGUGUUAGAAAGACAAGGGAGACAUAACCCUCUGCAUGCAGGCAGCAGUUGACAUGUCAGUGAAGGUACUGUAAGACAUGAGCGGACAUGAUGAAGAUUGAUGGUAAUGUAUUCCUCAGUGUAGAAGAAACAGAGAGGGAGAGAGAGUUUAUCCUCCAUGUACCCCUCCCUCGCGAAGGCAGAUUGCUUCCUACUCACCAUUACAGAACAGUUAAUCUCAAGUUCCCCAUUAAAAGCGAUCACACAGCCAACAUGAAAUAUACCCUCUGUGUCGAACGCUUAAUUAAAUAUUGAUUGCAGACUUAUAUGAAUUUACCACGUAAAAUCGAGGCCCCGGUCGGAGGGCUGCUUUUGAUUCGCUGUGUUUGAUAUGGUAAUGAGUCUAUAAAGCAGCAGGAGCUGCUCUGCACUGCACUUUUCCUAUGUUUAUUUAUUUUGCUGUCAUGUGGUUUUGCAGCUCCGAAUGAAAUUACAUAUCUAUAUUUUUUACAGGAGCUACGCUUGACAGCACAUCAAAACCCCAUUUUAUUUAUUUUUUAGCUUAUAUGAUGAAGUCCUAUGGCUUCUUUGCAACUUUAAUCCAAAAUACUGCAGAUUUUGCACAGAUUUUCCUGGUUGGAAAACAAAACAAAGAAACCUGCUUAAAAUAUGUGUGUGUCCUGAUGAGCCAAGUUGCCUGAGCUUAUCGCUGAAUGUUUCUUUAAGGUGAAAAUGCAUGGUAACUGAACAAGGUUUUGUAUUGUUAGACAGUCACAGUCACUAACCCUAACCCUUAAACAUGCUUAGCAAUAACUGUUUUGGUAAUUGAAAUAAUUCAAUACAUGUUUUAACAUGGUGAUACGUUUGGCUGUAAACAAAGGCUGUUCCUUUUCAUGUACCCUGAUGUACUCUUUAUUAUGUGUUCUUGUUUUUAUGGAAGCCAAUUAACAUAAUAAAGUUGUGCAGACUUUU
This is an RNA transcript of Etheostoma cragini (Arkansas darter), 6091 nucleotides long. It is a transcript of the gene named MCF.2 cell line derived transforming sequence a, with no coding region annotated. The record is from RefSeq and is a predicted model, not a curated record. The transcript is spliced from 30 exons. NCBI's taxonomy places the organism in Eukaryota, Metazoa, Chordata, Actinopteri, Perciformes, Percidae.